Molecule: non-coding RNA, 105 nt
Organism: Oncorhynchus tshawytscha (Chinook salmon)
Lineage: Eukaryota; Metazoa; Chordata; Actinopteri; Salmoniformes; Salmonidae
Gene: SCARNA8
Product: small Cajal body-specific RNA 8
Source: Ensembl
UGGGGGUGCUCUGACCGUUGCUAGCUCUCCCUAUAGCAUACCUGCUCUCUGAUGACCGGGGCGAGUUGCGUGAAAUCGCAACGGAGAGAUACGGAGCAGACAAUC